Molecule: long non-coding RNA, 941 nt
Organism: Homo sapiens (human)
Lineage: Eukaryota; Metazoa; Chordata; Mammalia; Primates; Hominidae
Product: long intergenic non-protein coding RNA 970
Source: Ensembl
GGAGAGCAGGAAUGGCAGGAGAGCGGUGAGAGACCUCCGUCCCAGUGAGGAUGACAUGUUCUAACUCAGGAAAUGAAUAGAUGCUCUUGCGAUUGAAGAAAAAUCUACGCUGGAGGCAGACAGGCUGGCAGAUAAGGAGACUGAAGCAUCUAGAGUUGGAGUAAUUUCCACAAGAUCACAGAGGCAAGAUUUCACUCUGUCACCCAGACUGGAGUGCAGUGGCACAAACAUAGCUCACUGAAGCCUCAAACUCCUGGGCUCAAGAGAUCCUUCUGCUUCAGCCUCCUGAGUAGCUGGGACUUCAGAAUCCCAGUCCUCUCUCUCUCACUGACCCCGAAGAUAAGCAUUGGAAAGGGGAGCUUUGGGGAAAUGAAUCUGCCCUGUCAUCUGCGUAUAGAGCUAAUCUUAAAUCCCAACUGCCAAAUGGAUCCUGAGGUGUCAGAAACUCUCCCGAGAUAAGGGGGCUUCUAGCAACCAUCUGCAUUCUGGACCCAGUUCUUGCGUUGCUUCACAUUGUUGAAACAUAACUCGGGCUGGGAUUCUGAGAAAUAUGGAUUUCAGGCUUCCAGCCUCUGGAACACAGAGGCAGCAUAAGGUGGGAAGCAGGGAGCAUGGAAAGACUAGUGCUGAGCCAACAGCACACCCAGCACGCAAGCCUGGUGCAGCAGUGGCGUCAUGGAGAACAUCAGAUGAGAAAACCAGGGGAAGCAGAGGUAAGAACCUGUUCAAGAAGGCACAUCUCAGAUGUGGAAGAACCAUGAUUCAACUCGAGUCUGUCUGCUUCCCAAGACUGUGGUAUUUAAACAGCUUAUAAUGAAAAUUCCUUCUAUAGCUCCCCAUAAAAGGGCACACAGUUCUUUCUUAACGUAUUAUUUCAGGCAUUCAUUCACCAUUGAUGUAUUUGUGAAGGUGUUCUCUCUAAAUAAACUAUUGGGACCUUA